AGCAGCCGCGGUAAUUCCAGCUCCAAUAGCGUAUAUUAAAGUUGUUGCAGUUAAAAAGCUCGUAGUUGAAUUUCGAGAUCAAAUUGUUGGUCGUGCCUCGGUACGUACUGGCAUUAUUGAUUUCUCCCUUCUGAAGAACCUUGAUGUCAUUAAUUUGGUGUCUUGGGGAAUCAGGACCGUUACUUUGAAAAAAUUAGAGUGUUUAAAGCAGGCUCACGCUUGAAUACAUUAGCAUGGAAUAAUGAAAUAGGACGUUUGAUUCUAUUUUGUUGGUUUCUAGGAUCGACGUAAUGAUUAAUAGGGAUAGUUGGGGGCAUUAGUAUUCAAUUGUCAGAGGUGAAAUUCUUGGAUUUAUUGAAGACUAACUACUGCGAAAGCAUUUGCCAAGGAUGUUUUCAUUAAUCAAGAACGAAAGUUAGGGGAUCGAAGACGAUCAGAUACCGUCGUAGUCUUAACCAUAAACUAUGCCGACUAGGGAUCGGAUGAUGUUAAUUUUUUAAUGACUCAUUCGGCGCCUUACG
RNAcentral lists this ribosomal RNA (521 nucleotides) under uncultured Glomeraceae. Its description in RNAcentral is "SSU rRNA". It matches the Rfam family "Eukaryotic small subunit ribosomal RNA", at positions 569 to 1092 of the family's 1831-position model. Lineage: Eukaryota; Fungi; Glomeromycota; Glomeromycetes; Glomerales; Glomeraceae. The record is from RNAcentral.